UAGGGAAUCUUCGGCAAUGGGGGCAACCCUGACCGAGCAACGCCGCGUGAGUGAAGAAGGUUUUCGGAUCGUAAAGCUCUGUUGUAAGAGAAGAACGAGUGUGAGAGUGGAAAGUUCACACUGUGACGGUAACUUACCAGAAAGGGACGGCUAACUACGUGCCAGCAGCCGCGGUAAUACGUAGGUCCCGAGCGUUAUCCGGAUUUAUUGGGCGUAAAGCGAGCGCAGGCGGUUAGAUAAGUCUGAAGUUAAAGGCUGUGGCUUAACCAUAGUACGCUUUGGAAACUGUUUAACUUGAGUGCAGAAGGGGAGAGUGGAAUUCCAUGUGUAGCGGUGAAAUGCGUAGAUAUAUGGAGGAACACCGGUGGCGAAAGCGGCUCUCUGGUCUGUAACUGACGCUGAGGCUCGAAAGCGUGGGGAGCAAACAGGAUUAGAUACCCUGGUGGUCCACGCCGUAAACGAUGAGUGCUAGGUGUUGGGUCCUUUCCGGGACUCAGUGCCGCAGCUAACGCAUUAAGCACUCCGCCUGGGGAGUACGACCGCAAGGUUG
Molecule: ribosomal RNA, 550 nt
Filed under: uncultured bacterium
Lineage: Bacteria
Description: bacterial SSU rRNA
Rfam family: Bacterial small subunit ribosomal RNA
Source: RNAcentral